AUUGAACGCUGGCGGCAGGCCUAACACAUGCAAGUCGAGCGAGAGGCGGACGGGGGAGUAAUGUCUGGGAAACUGCCUGAUGGAGGGGGAAAAAUACGGGAAACGGUAGCUAAGACCGCAUACCAUCGGAUGUGCCCACAUGGGAUUAGCUAGUAGGGGGGGUAACGGCUCACCUGGGCGACGAGCCCUAGCUGGUCUGAGAGGAUGACCAGCCACCGUGGAACUGAGCUACGGUCCAGACUCCGACGGGAGGCAGCAGUGGGGAGUAUUGCACAAUGGGCGCAAGCCUGAUGCAGCCAUGCCGCGUGUAUGAAGAAGGCCUUCGGGUUGUAAAGUACUUUCAGCGGGGAGGCGUUACCCGCAGAAGAAGCACCGGCUAACGCCGUGCCAGCAGCCGCGGUAAUUC
This 406-nucleotide ribosomal RNA is filed under the name uncultured bacterium. RNAcentral describes it as "partial 16S ribosomal RNA". It matches the Rfam family "Bacterial small subunit ribosomal RNA", at positions 29 to 526 of the family's 1533-position model. The record is from RNAcentral.